This 271-nucleotide ribosomal RNA is filed under the name uncultured prokaryote. RNAcentral describes it as "partial 16S ribosomal RNA". It matches the Rfam family "Bacterial small subunit ribosomal RNA", at positions 524 to 794 of the family's 1533-position model. The record is from RNAcentral.
UACGUAGGGGUCGAGCGUUGUCCGGAGUUACUGGGCGUAAAGCGCAUGCAGGCGGCUCAUUACGCAUGGCGUGAAAGCCCCCGGCUCAACCGGGGAGGGUCGUCGUGAACGGGUGAGCUUGAGGGUAUCAGGGGCUGGUGGAAUUCCCGGUGUAGUGGUGAAAUGCGUAGAGAUCGGGAGGAACACCUGUGGCGAAGGCGGCCAGCUGGGAUACACCUGACGCUGAGAUGCGAAGGCGUGGGGAGCGAACGGGAUUAGAUACCCCUGUAGU